GGGCCGGUCGUCUAGUCUGGUAGGAUAGUCCCUUGGCAUGGGACAGGUCGGGGGUUCGAAACCUGCGUCGAAUCGACGCAGGCGAAUUUCCCCCCCGGUCCA
Molecule: transfer RNA, 102 nt
Filed under: Nitrososphaerota archaeon
Lineage: Archaea; Thermoproteati; Nitrososphaerota
Description: Thaumarchaeota archaeon tRNA-Ala
Source: RNAcentral